UAGAAAGCAAAUAUAGCACUUAUGAACAAUGAAACCCGGAAGAAUCUUUUUGCCGUUGGAAGCGUGGGAGAUGUUGAUUCUUCCGAUGUGGGACGCGUAGGGUUGGGUGUGAGCUUUGAAUCCCGAGCACACGAGAGUGGUUGAGCUUGAAAUCGCUUGGGAGACUUGUAAGCACUUUAUUUCCUUUCUUGAAUGCACUCACUCUCUUGAGCUUUUCUUUCUAACUUCUCUCUUGAAUGAUUUUGCUUUUUGGUUGGUUAAGAGUUGUUGAGAAGCACUUAAGAGCUCCCUUUUAUAGCCCAAAAAGCAAAUAUAGCCGUUAGAGAUAAAGUAGAGAAGAUUUGAAAUUCAAAUCAAACCUGAAAAGCUGUCAGUCGCGUCCCAGGCGCUCCAGGGACGUCUCCGCUACAACGAGAGACGUCUCGCCUACAGGAUUUUACUUUUUACUUUAUCUGGGGUCGACUCGGCACUUUACGGGGACGUCUCGGCGUGUUAGCGCUUUUUGAGUGGGGACGACUCCGCUGCUUUGGGGACGACUCCGCUUCUUUAUCUCCGAAAAUCAUGUCCUCUGGAAUUCCCUGAGAGAGUCGACUCCGCUCUUUCAGGGGACGUCUCCGCUUGUCUGCACUUUAUGCGUGGGGACGACUCCGCUUUCUCAGGGUCGACUCCGCUUCCUUAUCACCGAAAAAAAACAUUCUCUGAAAAACCCUGAGAGAGCCGUCUCCGCCAUCUUGGGGACGACUCGGGAAGUCUCCUUUUUGCUUGCGGGGACGACUCCNN
RNAcentral lists this long non-coding RNA (780 nucleotides) under Phoenix dactylifera (date palm). RNAcentral describes it as "long non-coding RNA (PDAC_LNC011280)". Lineage: Eukaryota; Viridiplantae; Streptophyta; Magnoliopsida; Arecales; Arecaceae. The record is from RNAcentral.